RNAcentral lists this transfer RNA (89 nucleotides) under Lupinus albus (white lupine). RNAcentral describes it as "tRNA-Trp". The stretch from base 2 to 73 matches the Rfam family "tRNA". From Rfam's summary of the family: Transfer RNA (tRNA) molecules are approximately 80 nucleotides in length. Their secondary structure includes four short double-helical elements and three loops (D, anti-codon, and T loops). Further hydrogen bonds mediate the characteristic L-shaped molecular structure. tRNAs have two regions of fundamental functional importance: the anti-codon, which is responsible for specific mRNA codon recognition, and the 3' end, to which the tRNAs corresponding amino acid is attached (by aminoacyl-tRNA synthetases). tRNAs cope with the degeneracy of the genetic code in two manners: having more than one tRNA (with a specific anti-codon) for a particular amino acid; and 'wobble' base-pairing, i.e. permitting non-standard base-pairing at the 3rd anti-codon position. Lineage: Eukaryota; Viridiplantae; Streptophyta; Magnoliopsida; Fabales; Fabaceae. The record is from RNAcentral.
UGGAUUUGUGGCGCAAUGGUAGCGCGUCUGACUCCAGAUCAUAAGGUUGCGUGUUCGAUUCACGUCAGGUUCAAUUAUCUCUUUACGUC